UUUGUUCCUUCCAUUAUUUGUGCUUGUGGC
RNAcentral lists this non-coding RNA (30 nucleotides) under Mus musculus (house mouse). The record is from RNAcentral. Lineage: Eukaryota; Metazoa; Chordata; Mammalia; Rodentia; Muridae.